Molecule: small nuclear RNA, 164 nt
Organism: Pseudophryne corroboree (corroboree frog)
Lineage: Eukaryota; Metazoa; Chordata; Amphibia; Anura; Myobatrachidae
Product: U1 spliceosomal RNA
Exons: 1
Source: RefSeq, a predicted model, not a curated record
CUACUUACCUGCCAGGUGAGAUACUAUGAUCAUGAAGGUGCUUCUCCCAGGGCAAGGCUCACCCAUUGCAUUCUGGGUAUGCUGACCCCUGUGAUUUUCCCAAAUGUGGGAAACUCGACUGCAUUAUUUGUGGUAGUGGGGGACUGUGUUUGUGCUUUCCUCUG